GGGUUGUGAGGUUAAGCGACUAAGCGUACACGGUGGAUGCCCUGGCAGUCAGAGGCGAUGAAGGACGUGCUAAUCUGCGAUAAGCGUCGGUAAGGUGAUAUGAACCGUUAUAACCGGCGAUUUCCGAAUGGGGAAACCCAGUGUGUUUCGACACACUAUCAUUAACUGAAUCCAUAGGUUAAUGAGGCGAACCGGGGGAACUGAAACAUCUAAGUACCCCGAGGAAAAGAAAUCAACCGAGAUUCCCCCAGUAGCGGCGAGCGAACGGGGAGCAGCCCAGAGCCUGAAUCAGUGUGUGUGUUAGUGGAAGCGUCUGGAAAGGCGCGCGAUACAGGGUGACAGCCCCGUACACAAAAAUGCACAUGCUGUGAGCUCGAUGAGUAGGGCGGGACACGUGGUAUCCUGUCUGAAUAUGGGGGGACCAUCCUCCAAGGCUAAAUACUCCUGACUGACCGAUAGUGAACCAGUACCGUGAGGGAAAGGCGAAAAGAACCCCGGCGAGGGGAGUGAAAAAGAACCUGAAACCGUGUACGUACAAGCAGUGGGAGCACGCUUAGGCGUGUGACUGCGUACCUUUUGUAUAAUGGGUCAGCGACUUAUAUUCUGUAGCAAGGUUAACCGAAUAGGGGAGCCGAAGGGAAACCGAGUCUUAACUGGGCGUUAAGUUGCAGGGUAUAGACCCGAAACCCGGUGAUCUAGCCAUGGGCAGGUUGAAGGUUGGGUAACACUAACUGGAGGACCGAACCGACUAAUGUUGAAAAAUUAGCGGAUGACUUGUGGCUGGGGGUGAAAGGCCAAUCAAACCGGGAGAUAGCUGGUUCUCCCCGAAAGCUAUUUAGGUAGCGCCUCGUGAAUUCAUCUCCGGGGGUAGAGCACUGUUUCGGCAAGGGGGUCAUCCCGACUUACCAACCCGAUGCAAACUGCGAAUACCGGAGAAUGUUAUCACGGGAGACACACGGCGGGUGCUAACGUCCGUCGUGAAGAGGGAAACAACCCAGACCGCCAGCUAAGGUCCCAAAGUCAUGGUUAAGUGGGAAACGAUGUGGGAAGGCCCAGACAGCCAGGAUGUUGGCUUAGAAGCAGCCAUCAUUUAAAGAAAGCGUAAUAGCUCACUGGUCGAGUCGGCCUGCGCGGAAGAUGUAACGGGGCUAAACCAUGCACCGAAGCUGCGGCAGCGACGCUGAUGCGUUGUUGGGUAGGGGAGCGUUCUGUAAGCCUGCGAAGGUGUGCUGUGAGGCAUGCUGGAGGUAUCAGAAGUGCGAAUGCUGACAUAAGUAACGAUAAAGCGGGUGAAAAGCCCGCUCGCCGGAAGACCAAGGGUUCCUGUCCAACGUUAAUCGGGGCAGGGUGAGUCGACCCCUAAGGCGAGGCCGAAAGGCGUAGUCGAUGGGAAACAGGUUAAUAUUCCUGUACUUGGUGUUACUGCGAAGGGGGGACGGAGAAGGCUAUGUUGGCCGGGCGACGGUUGUCCCGGUUUAAGCGUGUAGGCUGGUUUUCCAGGCAAAUCCGGAAAAUCAAGGCUGAGGCGUGAUGACGAGGCACUACGGUGCUGAAGCAACAAAUGCCCUGCUUCCAGGAAAAGCCUCUAAGCAUCAGGUAACAUCAAAUCGUACCCCAAACCGACACAGGUGGUCAGGUAGAGAAUACCAAGGCGCUUGAGAGAACUCGGGUGAAGGAACUAGGCAAAAUGGUGCCGUAACUUCGGGAGAAGGCACGCUGAUAUGUAGGUGAAGCGACUUGCUCGUGGAGCUGAAAUCAGUCGAAGAUACCAGCUGGCUGCAACUGUUUAUUAAAAACACAGCACUGUGCAAACACGAAAGUGGACGUAUACGGUGUGACGCCUGCCCGGUGCCGGAAGGUUAAUUGAUGGGGUUAGCGCAAGCGAAGCUCUUGAUCGAAGCCCCGGUAAACGGCGGCCGUAACUAUAACGGUCCUAAGGUAGCGAAAUUCCUUGUCGGGUAAGUUCCGACCUGCACGAAUGGCGUAAUGAUGGCCAGGCUGUCUCCACCCGAGACUCAGUGAAAUUGAACUCGCUGUGAAGAUGCAGUGUACCCGCGGCAAGACGGAAAGACCCCGUGAACCUUUACUAUAGCUUGACACUGAACAUUGAGCCUUGAUGUGUAGGAUAGGUGGGAGGCUUUGAAGUGUGGACGCCAGUCUGCAUGGAGCCGACCUUGAAAUACCACCCUUUAAUGUUUGAUGUUCUAACGU
Molecule: ribosomal RNA, 2211 nt
Filed under: Escherichia coli
Lineage: Bacteria; Pseudomonadati; Pseudomonadota; Gammaproteobacteria; Enterobacterales; Enterobacteriaceae
Description: bacterial LSU rRNA
Rfam family: Bacterial large subunit ribosomal RNA
Source: RNAcentral